Molecule: ribosomal RNA, 403 nt
Filed under: Verrucomicrobiota bacterium
Lineage: Bacteria; Pseudomonadati; Verrucomicrobiota
Description: Verrucomicrobia bacterium partial 16S ribosomal RNA
Rfam family: Bacterial small subunit ribosomal RNA
Source: RNAcentral
UGGGGAAUAUUGCACAAUGGAGGGAACUCUGAUGCAGCGACGCCGCGUGAACGAUGAAGGUCUUCGGAUCGUAAAGUUCUGUUGCAGGGGAAGAUAAUGACGGUACCCUGUGAGGAAGCCCCGGCUAACUACGUUCCAGCAGCCGCGGUAAUACGUAGGGGGCUAGCGUUAUCCGGAUUUACUGGGCGUAAAGGGUGCGUAGGUGGUCUUUCAAGUCGGUGGUUAAAGGCUACGGCUCAACCGUAGUUAGCCUCCGAAACUGGAAGACUUGAGUGCAGGAGAGGAAAGUGGAAUUCCCAGUGUAGCGGUGAAAUGCGUAGAUAUUGGGAGGAACACCAGUAGCGAAGGCGGCUUUCUGGACUGCAACUGACACUGAGGCACGAAAGCGUGGGUAGCAAACAGG